CAGUCGCCGCGGGAAUACGUAGGUGGCAAGCGUUGUCCGGAAUUAUUGGGCGUAAAGGGCUCGCAGGCGGUUUCUUAAGUCUGAUGUGAAAGCCCCCGGCUCAACCGGGGAGGGUCAUUGGAAACUGGGAAACUUGAGUGCGGAAGAGGAGAGUGGAAUUCCACGUGUAGCGGUGAAAUGCGUAGAGAUGUGGAGGGACACCAGUGGCGAAGGCGACUCUCUGGUCUGUAACUGACGCUGAGGAGCGAAAGCGUGGGGAGCGAACAGGAUUAGAUACCCCGGUAGUCCCUGUCUCUUAUAA
This 301-nucleotide ribosomal RNA is filed under the name uncultured bacterium. Its description in RNAcentral is "partial 16S ribosomal RNA". It matches the Rfam family "Bacterial small subunit ribosomal RNA", at positions 509 to 809 of the family's 1533-position model. The record is from RNAcentral.